AUUGAACGCUGGCGGCAGGCUUAACACAUGCAAGUCGAGCGGGGUGAUGGUGCUUGCACUAUCACUUAGCGGCGGACGGGUGAGUAAUGCUUAGGAAUCUGCCUAUUAGUGGGGGACAACAUCUCGAAAGGGAUGCUAAUACCGCAUUCGUCCUACGGGAGAAAGCAGGGGAUCACUUGUGACCUUGCGCUAAUAGAUGAGCCUAAGUCGGAUUAGCUAGUUGGUGGGGUAAAGGCCUACCAAGGCGACGAUCGGUAGCGGGUCUGAGAGGAUGAUCCGCCACACUGGGACUGAGACACGGCCCAGACUCCUACGGGAGGCAGCAGUGGGGAAUAUUGGACAAUGGGGGGAACCCUGAUCCAGCCAUGCCGCGUGUGUGAAGAAGGCCUUAUGGUUGUAAAGCACUUUAAGCGAGGAGGAGGCUCUUUUGGUUAAUACCCAAGAUGAGUGGACGUUACUCGCAGAAUAAGCACCGGCUAACUCUGUGCCAGCCGCCGCUGUAA
RNAcentral lists this ribosomal RNA (503 nucleotides) under uncultured bacterium. Its description in RNAcentral is "partial 16S ribosomal RNA". It matches the Rfam family "Bacterial small subunit ribosomal RNA", at positions 30 to 523 of the family's 1533-position model. The record is from RNAcentral.